UGAGUAACACGUGGGUAAUUCACCUCAGGGUUUGGAAUAACCUGCCGAAAGGCGGGCUAAUACCGGAUAACGUCGCGGGAUCACAUGGUUCUGCGACCAAAGCCGACCUCUUCCCGAAAGUUGGCGCCUGGAGAGAAACCCGCGUCCCAUUAGCUAGUUGGUGAGGUUACGGCUCACCAAGGCUCCGAUGGGUAGCCGGCCUGAGAGGGCGAUCGGCCACAGUGGAACUGAGACACGGUCCAC
Molecule: ribosomal RNA, 243 nt
Filed under: uncultured bacterium
Lineage: Bacteria
Description: partial 16S ribosomal RNA
Rfam family: Bacterial small subunit ribosomal RNA
Source: RNAcentral